This 770-nucleotide ribosomal RNA is filed under the name uncultured bacterium. Its description in RNAcentral is "bacterial SSU rRNA". It matches the Rfam family "Bacterial small subunit ribosomal RNA", at positions 8 to 796 of the family's 1533-position model. The record is from RNAcentral.
AGAGUUUGAUCAUGGCUCAGGACGAACGCUGGCGGCGUGCUUAACACAUGCAAGUCGAGCGGAAAGGCCCUUCGGGGUACUCGAGCGGCGAACGGGUGAGUAACACGUGAGCAAUCUGCCCUUAGCUUCGGGAUAGCUCCGGGAAACCGGAAUUAAUACCGGAUAUGACUAUGGCCGACAUCAGCCAUGGUGGAAAGUUUUUCGGCUAGGGAUGAGCUCGCGGCCUAUCAGCUAGUUGGUGGGGUAACGGCCUACCAAGGCGACGACGGGUAGCCGGCCUGAGAGGGCGACCGGCCACACUGGGACUGAGACACGGCCCAGACUCCUACGGGAGGCAGCAGUGGGGAAUAUUGCGCAAUGGGCGAAAGCCUGACGCAGCGACGCCGCGUGGGGGAUGAAGGCCUUCGGGUUGUAAACCCCUUUCAGCAGGGACGAAGCGAAAGUGACGGUACCUGCAGAAGAAGCGCCGGCUAACUACGUGCCAGCAGCCGCGGUAACACGUAGGGCGCAAGCGUUGUCCGGAAUUAUUGGGCGUAAAGAGCUCGUAGGCGGUCUGCUACGUCCGCUGUGAAAACCUAGGGCUUAACCCUGGGCUUGCAGUAGAUACGGGCAGACUAGAGGUAGGUAGGGGAGAAUGGAAUUCCCGGUGUAGCGGUGAAAUGCGCAGAUAUCGGGAGGAACACCGGUGGCGAAGGCGGUUCUCUGGGCCUUACCUGACGCUGAGGAGCGAAAGCGUGGGGAGCAAACAGGAUUAGAUACCCCCGUAGUCC